AAACUUGGACGAAGCUCAUGUCUUCGGCUCUCCCGGGACAACUGACCCGGUGCGCGAUGGCUCUCUGGGUCACUCCACCCCCCUGUGCACUCCCAGGAAUGGAUCCGCCCAGGGUCUGAACCAAGUGACCACUUAGCCCGGAGGGCGCCCGCACCCCAGGCGACAUGUGCAACCACCUGCUGCUCUGGCCAAAGUUGAUAGGACCGCGCUCCCGGAAGACAGAGACCCCCUGGGGGUGCUCCACCUGCCGAGAGGGGCCGGCCCUGCUGAGCACCUGUUCGAUGACGGUCCCCACCCCUGUCUCCGGCGCCGAUGGACCCGCCUAGGUGCGCCCUGCGGGGAGGUGCCAGGCCGAGCAAGGUCCCGGCUGGCAGAGGCGUGUCGGUGACGCUGCCUGCCUUCCCACUUUCGUCCCGGUGGGGGAGGUGUCGCGGGCUUUCUGGGCUCCCAAGUUGGCUGACUCAAGUAUCAAUGAGGCCCCCCCUUGAAGUGAUGCUCUGGCCCCGCAGGCGAUGCUCGUGGAGACGGAACUUUUGAAAAAGUUGCAGUCGUUCUUUGGCAAUUUCCUUACUUACUUGUGGUUCCCUCUCCACCUCCCCUUCGGUCAUCCCUUACUCUAGGUCAGGCUUCCGGAAGUUCUGACGCUUAAAGGCGCUGUGCCCAGACUGGAGGCCGGGAGACUUGUUUCGGUUCAAAGGUUCCCAGGCCGUCACCUGCACCCCGGGAGCGGCCAGCGGCUCUCGGCCUUCUCAGCGUUACACUGCUGCUCCCUGGUGGCGUCGAGGGGAAGCGCAUUCUGGGAGAUUGUGAACUGACCGGUGCGUUGGGAAUACUAUCAUUUUCUUCUGUCUUGUAAAACUCGGUCACAUCCUUCUGCUCAGGAAUAUCCCGUAGCCCCUCCUUACUCCCAAGAAAAAUCCAAAAUACUCAUACCGGCCUGAUUGUCCCUCCCCAACGUCACUUUGCUCUCUUCGCUUAUUUGGCUUUGGCCACACUGACCUGGUGUGUCCCAAAUCAGACACAUGGCUGGUGUCGCUACCAGAAUUUCUUUCCUGCUGAGGACACCUCAUCCCAUUUUCCUCAGGGUCGCAUUCAAAGGCAAACCCUUCUCAUAAAAUUUCACCCUGCUUAUGAGCCGUUAUGAUUUAAAAAUAGAGGAAAUCAUCAUAGCCAUCAUUGCUACCGUUUGUAAUUCUAAACCCGUAAUACGCAUUACUUUGUGUUUUGUACACCCUUGCUAUUAUCAUUGUUAUGGAUACCUAGGACCUUGGUCAUCCAUCAUCUUCAACGUAGGAAAGAGAAUCUGUAUUAGGUUAGAACCCAUUCUAAUCACCCCAUUUUCACUCAGCAUUUUUAUAUACCCCAUCUCUACACAAAGAUAGAUGCGUGCUUCCUCCCAGGGCAGGCUUCUCCCCAACGUCUCUCUCCCGUUGUUUCCUUCUCGAAUCAUUUACUGUCAUCUGGUAUUUACUAGCUACAGUUUCUCCACCUAUCUUUUCCUGUCCUAAAGACAACGUUGCUUAGUAAAUAUUCCACCUCUGUAUCUCCCGGCCCUCCUGCAGUUAUGGGGGGGGGGGCUACAUUAGGUCAAUUAUGGUUAGUAGCAUCUGUACAAAAGUAGAGCGGGUUCCCCUCCCAGUCCAGAGCAUUUAAUCGACAGGAUGCCUUCCCCUGCCCCAGCAACCAGUGUUGUUUCGGACAGCGUCUGUGGGGACCUUGCAGGGGAGCCCUCCCCACUAACCAGUGCUGGGUAUGAAUGUGAAAAAAGAAGGGGGUUAUAAAACUAAGAUUCCGGAAUGAUGAACUCUAGACUGUCACGAUUAGUACAUCCCCUUGACACCAAGGGGAUGAUUUAAUGAUGAUUUAAGAAUCUUUCCUAUGGCCGGGCAGUGGUGGCACAAGGCUUGCAUCCCAGCACUCAGGAGGCAGAGGCAGGCAGCAGCUCUCAGUGAGUUUGAGACUGGCUUGAUCUGCAAAGCGAAUUCCAGGACAGCCAGGACUGUUACACAGAGAAUCCCUGCCUUGAAAAACCAAACAAACAAACAAAAAUUCUAUCUCUAGGAGUAGGAGAGGUGGUCCUUGUCAGGGCUUCCCACUGGACUUCAGUAUCUGUGUGUCACCCUUUUGAUGGACACGAAGCCCUUGUCCCAUUCCCAUGUCAGACACUUUUUGUCUCCGAGACAUAGGCCUGUGAGAAAUAGGGUUUUUGUUUGUUUUGUAAAAUCUUUAUUUUAUUUUUGGCUCAUGUUAUCAAAGGUUUUGGGACAUGUUUGGCUGGCCACAUCAUUUGGGAGCUUGCAUUUCAAGGCUGGUGAGGCAGAGAACUAAGCUUGCUGCUUGCUUCACAGAGGCUAGGAAACAGUCAGACAGACAGGAAGGGGCCAGGGACAAGGGAGACCCAAGGACUGCCCUACUUCUGCCAACUGAGUUCCGCUUUCCAAUGAUGGACCAGCCUGACUCCAUCUUAAGAUUAAAAGCCAUCUCGCCAAAGUACGUUCAUACUUGUUUUCUGAAAAAUUGAAUUUGACCAUGUCUUGACCCAUUUUUUGGAAGUUGACAUGUCCCACACCUAUAUUCUGACCCCCCCCCCCCGCCCGGUAUGAUGUUCUGCCACAUAAUAUUGAGAUGUUCCUCCUCCUACAUAACUAAAAAUUCUUAAAAACCCCCUGGCCUUGAAAUUUGAGGCUAAUAUAAACCCAACCUUCUUCCAUGUUUGCUACUAAACCCCACCUUUAGACUGAUGGCCCUGACAGAAAAUAAAGCUUGUGUAAUCUAA
Non-coding RNA from Myodes glareolus (Bank vole), 2776 nucleotides. The record is from RefSeq and is a predicted model, not a curated record. NCBI's taxonomy places the organism in Eukaryota, Metazoa, Chordata, Mammalia, Rodentia, Cricetidae.